This 376-nucleotide unclassified non-coding RNA is filed under the name soil metagenome. RNAcentral describes it as "partial contains 5.8S ribosomal RNA, internal transcribed spacer 2, and large subunit ribosomal RNA". The stretch from base 1 to 120 matches the Rfam family "5.8S ribosomal RNA", at positions 35 to 154 of the family's 154-position model. The record is from RNAcentral.
GAUGAAGAACGUAGCGAAAUGCGAUAAGUAAUGUGAAUUGCAGAAUUCAGUGAAUCAUCGAAUCUUUGAACGCAUCUUGCGCUCCUUGGUAUUCUGAGGAGCAUGCCUGUUUGAGUGUCAUUAAAUUCUCAACUACACUGACUUUGAAUUGGUGUGGCUUGGAUUUGGGGGGAAAAUUGUUGUGGGCUUUUUGUAUAGUCUGCUCCCCUGAAAUUGAUUAGCGGUACCUUUGUGGAACUGUCUACAGGUGUGAUAAUUAUCUACAUCCUAGACAUCUGCUGGAAUGCUGCUUUCUAAACCUUACUUGUAUUGACAAUCUUGACCUCAAAUCAGGUAGGACUACCCGCUGAACUUAAGCAUAUCAAUAAGCGGAGGA